Lemur catta (Ring-tailed lemur) is the source of this 1560-nucleotide long non-coding RNA. RefSeq lists it as uncharacterized. NCBI's taxonomy places the organism in Eukaryota, Metazoa, Chordata, Mammalia, Primates, Lemuridae. The transcript has 2 exons. The record is from RefSeq and is a predicted model, not a curated record.
ACCCCCUCCUCCACCUCCGCCAGCCUCCUCCCCAGGAAAACUGCUUGUUUCAGUGACCGAGCUCCCGCUGUGGGCCGGCACCCCCGCUGUGCUGCAAGCCACCUUGUGGGUUGACCCUCCCUGCAGACCCGAUGCCUGGGUGGCCUUAUUUUACAGGGAGACAAAGCUCUGAGAGGCUGGGUGACUUGUCCCAGGUCACACAGCCAGGACUUGGCCGCAUGCUGUGCUGUCUACGCUCUGGGACCAAGUGUCCUGCGGCCACGGGGAAGGGGAAGAUGUGGAAACUGAGGCACAGGGAGAGGCUGCCACUUGCCCAAGAAGCCCCCUUGACCCCCUGCUUGUCAUCAUGAGACCCCACUGCCAAUGCCGAGAGCUCCCACCUUAAGGGACUCCUCCUCUGUCCGAGGCCCUUCCAGGUCCUCGCUUGCUCGGUACCGAGGACGCUUCACUUUAAUCACUGAGAAACGAGAUCGAGUCCAAACGUCGCUAGGAAUGUGGGACUGCCCUGGAAUGAAUGUGUGUGUUACGCACGGCAGCACUGAGGGACAUGUGAGAUCGACCGCACAUGGAUUCAUGGAGCAAGCACGUUCUGAGCACCUACUGUGUACCAGGCCCUGUCCUUGGAGACCCAGCAGAGGCGCAGGCAGACCCGGCCCUGCUCAGUCUUUGCAGCUGACGCCUAGUGGGAAAGGCAGACAACAAACAAGAAAACCAAUAAGCAAUCAAGGUCAUUUUAGACUGUGUUACAUGCCCCUGUGGGGAGGGGGAAGGCCACUCUCGAGAGGGUGGUGUCCAACAGGACCUCUCUGAGGAGAUGAGGCUAGAAGGAUGAGAAGGGACCAGCCUCGGGAAGAGGGAGAAGGGAAAAGGUCCACGCAGAGGAAUGACAUGUGCAAAGGCCCUGAGGCAGGCGCUUGCCUGGAGUGUUAAGUACAUUGGAUGCCAGUGUCUGCAGUCAAAUGCGGGGGGAGGAGAGAGAAGGAGAUGAGAUUCAAGACGUAACAAGUGAACAGAUGAGCAGCACCUGGGACCGCUGUAAGGGCUUUGCAUGGGCAGGUGGGAGCCCUGGGGAGAUUUUGAGCAGCGGAGGCACCAGGUCUGAUUUAGGUUCUAACAGGAUCCCUUUGGAUGCGUUGGUUAGCUGCAGUGGCCCCCGCCAAAGAUGUCCAUGUCUCAAUCCCCAGAAUUUGUGAAUGUUCCUUAAUAUGGCAAAAGGAACUUUGCAGCUGUGAUUUAGUUAAGGCUCUUAAAAUGGGAAGAUUACCCUGCAUUAUCCAGGUGGCCCCAAUGUCAUCACGGGGGUCUUUAUAAGACGAGAGCAGAGGGAGACCUGACUACAGAAGAGGAGAAGGCGGAGAGAAGAGAAAAUGACAGACGCAGAGAUUGGUGAUGUGCCUUGAAAGAGGAGGAAGGGGCCGUGAGCCACGGGACGCGGGCAGCCACUAGAAGCCGAAACGGGCAAGGAAACCGAUUUCCUGCUGGAGCCUCUGGAGGCAGCCCCGCCAGCACCUUGGCUUCUGACCGCUGGAACCGCACGAGAAUAAAUGAGUGUUGUUUUAA